This 357-nucleotide ribosomal RNA is filed under the name Triticum aestivum (bread wheat). RNAcentral describes it as "partial small subunit ribosomal RNA". Lineage: Eukaryota; Viridiplantae; Streptophyta; Magnoliopsida; Poales; Poaceae. The record is from RNAcentral.
GUGGAACCUCUUGUUGGAUAUUCACCAGAUAAAAGUCAAAAUAUGGUUCUUAUGGGCGGUUUAAGAAAAUACAUUCCAAUCACAAGAACUACUUUUUUAUGGGGUACAGUUUCUCUUUGUGGUAUUCCACCUCUUGCUUGCUUCUGGUCCAAAGAUGAAAUCCUUAGUAAUAGUUGGUUGUAUUCGCCCUUUUUUGGAAUAAUAUCCUCCUUUACUGCAGGAUUACCUGCCUUUUAUAUUAUUCGAAUAUAUUUACUUACAUUUGAUGGGUAUUUGCGUGUUCAUUUUCUAAAUUACAGUAGCACUAAGUCAUCGAAAAGAUCUCGGACGACUCACCAAAGCAUGAAAGCCAGUUAG